This is a long non-coding RNA of Pyrgilauda ruficollis (rufous-necked snowfinch), 1886 nucleotides long. RefSeq lists it as uncharacterized. The transcript is spliced from 3 exons. The record is from RefSeq and is a predicted model, not a curated record. Lineage: Eukaryota; Metazoa; Chordata; Aves; Passeriformes; Passeridae.
CUGAGAUUAUCGAGAAGAUAAAGAGGUUGUUACAGUCCAGGCGUUGCUGCUGACUCCCUGUCACGCUUUUUUGCUGGCUGAGAGGGAUUGGACAGAGUGGCACCUCGGGGCCUGGCAUCUUGUACCUGGAGUGAGCAAUCCCCAGGGAAAUGGGAGGAAACUCUUAAUUCUUCUUACUGAUCCAGACUGCUGCUCAGCAAAUCCCCUCACCACUGGAGCUGCAGAUCUGAAAUGGCAUUAAAGAGGAAAUCAACCUUUUGCACAGUUUCCUCUUGGAAACAGUUCAGUUCUGCACUUCUCCGGCUUCCUUCCGAUGGUGAGCAGCACACUGUGAGCGAUCCUGCCCCAGGCCCCAGGCCGGGCCCUCCUGCAGAGGAGCCACCAGCCACGGACGAGUUGAGCCUGCCACCUCCUGGUGACACUCUCCGGGACUGACCACAGCUUGCAGCUUUACAGCAGCACAUCUUGGCUCUUCUCUGAGGCCCCUCGAGCCCCCUGACCCCAGAGAUCUCUGCUGUUGUGGAGUUGCCCUUGUGGCUCUCCUGUGGGGUGUGGGCCUGUGGUUCCCCCUCUCUUGUAGAGGUGAGGCUCAGAAGCUCAGCUCUGUCCCCUGUGACGUGCUUGAGUUUGGCAUCUGAUGCUUUGAGGACCUGGAUUUCCUGUGUGGAGAGCGCACAGCACACAGAAAAGAGGUGGACUUCUGAGGAGGAGGGUCCAAGUCAUCCUCUGGAGUGUGUCAGGGCUGUGGCUGUUUGGCUCUGAGCCCUGCCUGGAGCAUGUCCCAGUUUUGGCCACCUGUUGCCCUUCGGUGGCUGGUGCUGGGUGCUGGGGGAGCCUGGCUUGCCCUGGGAGCUCACAGAGCCAUGUCCCUGCUCUGUGCUGUGUCUCUGGGUAAUGUCAUUGCAGCCACACUCAAAUACCAUCUCUAUGGUGAUGACUCAGGCAUGCAGCCCCUCUCUGGGCUCUCCUCUCCCUGUCCAAAUUCAUAUCUCAGAGGAGCUCUCUGACAUCUCGUGAAUGUCUCGCCACCCUUUCAAGCACAGCACGGCCAAAUCAGAGCUUUUAACCUCUCCUUCUCAGCUCAGGGACUCCCUGAGCUCAGCAACACCAGGAUGCUGCUUUGCUGCCAGAACCUGAGUCCUGGCUUCAUCUCCUGCCUCCUCACAUAUCUUCACAUCCUGGGCACAUCAACAGCUUGCAUAACCUUGCUAAGCCUUUCCUAAAGCUAAAACUCUCACCUUCUCUUUCAUCACAUCCCCCUCCACUUGUUGCAAUAUUCUUUUUUGUCCUCAACAAACUUGCUGUGGGCCAGCUUGCAUCCACAGGGAUGCUGUUUCAGGCAUUGCUUCCCACCUUUCCUGCCUCUCCUCCCUCAUCCUCUGGGCUGCCCUCCUGCCCUCUGCCUCCCCUUGAUCCCACCCAUGUCCCUGCCAGCUGCGAGGGCUGUAUCCUCCUGUUAAUUCCUCAUUUUAUUUCUAAAUUGUAAACUUUGGGCUCACAGACAGUUUUCUUUGCUGCUCUCCUCAGCAAUGCCAAGGCAAUCAGGCUGCUGCAUUUCAGUCGAGCUCCUAUUGACUGGCACAAAUGGGAAAACUCACUUGUGAGCAGGGAGGGGGGCACUGGAUGUACAGGGCAAAGGAUUUCCCCAGGCUCUCGUCAGGGAGGUGGCUCCAAGGCUGCCCAUCCGUCCCUGGGGGACACGGGGCUGUCAAGGGCUGCUGGCAGCACUGAGCUGAGCCCUGCCAGCCCUGCCCAGCAAAGAGGUGGCAAUUCAGGUGCCAAUAAACACUCCUGGCUCCAGGCACAGGACUCAGCUUCUUCUUGCAGUUGUUGGAGUGCAGCUACCCCAGAGGCUAAAUAAGGUUAAACAGGCCCCAAAAUAGGGA